This 495-nucleotide ribosomal RNA is filed under the name uncultured bacterium. Its description in RNAcentral is "partial 16S ribosomal RNA". It matches the Rfam family "Bacterial small subunit ribosomal RNA", at positions 28 to 523 of the family's 1533-position model. The record is from RNAcentral.
GAUGAACGCUAGCGGGAGGCCUAACACAUGCAAGCCGAGCGGUAUUUGUCUUUCGGGACAGAGAGAGCGGCGUACGGGUGCGGAACACGUGUGCAACCUGCCUUUAUCUGGGGGAUAGCCUUUCGAAAGGAAGAUUAAUACCCCAUAAUAUAUUGAUUCGCAUGGAUUGAUAUUGAAAACUCCGGUGGAUAGAGAUGGGCACGCGCAAGAUUAGAUAGAUGGUGAGGUAACGGCUCACCAAGUCAGUGAUCUUUAGGGGGCCUGAGAGGGUGAUCCCCCACACUGGUACUGAGACACGGACCAGACUCCUACGGGAGGCAGCGGUGAGGAAUAUUGGACAAUGGGUGAAAGCCUGAUCCAGCCAUCCCGCGUGAAGGACGACGGUUCUAUGGAUUGUAAACUUCUUUUAUAUAGGGAUAAACCUACUUACGUGUAAGUAGCUGAAGGUACUAUAUGAAUAAGCACCGGCUAACUCCGUGCCAGCCGCCGCGGUAA